UACAGAGGGUGCGAGCGUUAAUCGGAAUUACUGGGCGUAAAGCGUGCGUAGACGGUUACGUAAGUCGGGUGUGAAAGCCCCGGGCUCAACCUGGGAAUUGCAUUCGAGACUGCAUAGCUAGGGUGCGGAAGAGGGAAGCGGAAUUUCCGGUGUAGCGGUGAAAUGCGUAGAUAUCGGAAGGAACACCAGUGGCGAAAGCGGCUUCCUGGUCCAGCACCGACGUUCAGGCACGAAAGCGUGGGGAGCAAACAGG
This 253-nucleotide ribosomal RNA is filed under the name uncultured bacterium. RNAcentral's name for it is "partial 16S ribosomal RNA". It matches the Rfam family "Bacterial small subunit ribosomal RNA", at positions 524 to 776 of the family's 1533-position model. The record is from RNAcentral.